AAGGAAAAAUUCGAUCUUUAGUGGGUUAAUGACCGAAUUGGAGAAUUAAUUUUAAUUUCUUUUAAUACAUUAUAUGAAAAUGAAAUUGCAAUGCAUUUACCAUUGAUGAGACAUCUCGAAUUGAGGCCCACACAGGCAGAACAGUUUGAAAAGUUGAAGACUGACUCAGACUUGAAACCCAAGUUAAGGGGUGGGCUUUUUGACAAAUAGAACCGUAAGUUUCAAAGAGAAGCUUUUAAAUUUUCUUAAGCGAAUGGGGUAAGCAAUGCAAAAGCAAGCUUUUUGCAACAACUCCCCCUCCCUUAGCAGAUAUUAAGGGUUAAUUAUAGGUAUAGGUGUCCACCAAUAGUUGAGUUUUCCAAGAAAAUAGUAUCAAGCAAAUCAGAUGUUUGAGCUGUCACUGCCACCCCCAAAACCACCAAAUCUUUUCUUCUGUUAUGCUUGUUUGCUUCUUGUUACCUCUAGCUAACAAGCGUACUUUUGUUUCUCUGUUUUGCUUCAUUUUUGCUCUCCAAUGAGA
This 520-nucleotide unclassified non-coding RNA is filed under the name Hevea brasiliensis (rubber tree). Lineage: Eukaryota; Viridiplantae; Streptophyta; Magnoliopsida; Malpighiales; Euphorbiaceae. The record is from RNAcentral.